Nitratifractor salsuginis DSM 16511 is the source of this 72-nucleotide transfer RNA. It matches the Rfam family "tRNA". Rfam says of the family: Transfer RNA (tRNA) molecules are approximately 80 nucleotides in length. Their secondary structure includes four short double-helical elements and three loops (D, anti-codon, and T loops). Further hydrogen bonds mediate the characteristic L-shaped molecular structure. tRNAs have two regions of fundamental functional importance: the anti-codon, which is responsible for specific mRNA codon recognition, and the 3' end, to which the tRNAs corresponding amino acid is attached (by aminoacyl-tRNA synthetases). tRNAs cope with the degeneracy of the genetic code in two manners: having more than one tRNA (with a specific anti-codon) for a particular amino acid; and 'wobble' base-pairing, i.e. permitting non-standard base-pairing at the 3rd anti-codon position. The record is from Rfam. Lineage: Bacteria; Pseudomonadati; Campylobacterota; Epsilonproteobacteria; Campylobacterales; Sulfurovaceae.
GCGGGAGUAGCUCAGGGGUAGAGCACAACCUUGCCAAGGUUGGGGUCGCGGGUUCGAAUCCCGUCUCCCGCU